This is an RNA transcript of Teleopsis dalmanni, 1437 nucleotides long. RefSeq lists it as uncharacterized. NCBI's taxonomy places the organism in Eukaryota, Metazoa, Arthropoda, Insecta, Diptera, Diopsidae. The record is from RefSeq and is a predicted model, not a curated record. The transcript is spliced from 4 exons.
UUACAGAAAAAACGGCCAAUUAAAUUUUUACUAGUCAACUCAAAAUCUAUUUGUAAAAAGUUAUAACUAUGGGACGUGCCAAAAAAGAAGGGUCUGCACAUUCACAAAAGAAAAUACUUAAAGGAUUUAAGGCAGAGCUAAUAAAAUAUCGUCGAAAUGAAAAGAGGAUUAUUGAAUAUUUUAAAAAGGAAAUAAGGAAAUAUAAAAGAACUCACAAGCGAACAAUUACCCAAAAUUUCGAAAUUGCCUUAAAGAGGCUAUUAAAGGAGGAUGCUACAAAACGUUCAAAAUUUUCGGCUUUCGUUUCAUUUUUUAUAAAAAAAAAUUAUGAAAAUUCGUACCGCGAUACAGAAAAUAAUUCGGAAAAUUUGUCAGUGGAUAGUAGUACGACGAGUAUGAGUAGUUUGAGUAGUAUUAGCAGCAUGUGUACUAUAAGUAGUUGUAAGUACGAAGAACAUAUAAAAAACAUUUCGGAAAUAUGUUCGAAAUGUAAUGCUAGCGAAGUUUCUUUUCGUACAUUUGAAUACACUUCUACACCUACUCUGUCCGAAAAUCUAUCACAUCAAGGUGAGAGCUAUUGUGAAUACAAAUCAUAUGAAGUAGAAUCACAAAAUGGAAAUGAAAUUGACCAACAAAGCUUACGUCGAACACUGCAAUUUCCGAAACUUAUUUCUGUAUCUUCAAUCAGUAAUGAUGAAUUAUCAUAUAGGCAGUUCUUGGAAGGCGAUUCGCAAGCUUUGUCAUUUAACAACAAAUUAAUGAAUGGAUUCACCACUGCGAUUGAAAAAUGCAAUUCAGAGUUUUCGGAUUCCAGUUCGGAAUCAAGUAUAUUGAGUUUACCUUCAUUACCUUCAUACCCUGGUCAACAUUGUAGAACAAGGGCAAACUCAACGAAAACUCGUAAAAGAAAUAGAAAAAAGAAAAGGAAUCGUUGAGUUUGUAUACUUAUAACGCAUUGUAGAUAACCAUUUUAAUUUAUGAAGAAACAACUUGACACGCAAAUAAUGUGUCAACUGGCUGGGUGAUUUGAGGACUUUGGAUAUAAGUUUACAAUUGCAUACUGUACAUAUUAAUAGUUCCAGAACUCCAAUUUGCUCGUAUAGCUCAAAUAAAACCAAAAAAUUUUAAUUACAUGUUUCAAAUAAUUCAGAAAAGAUACAAUAUUGAAUAAUGUGAGUAUCUUAAUGGAUAUUGAAUAUUUGAACUUAGUUCCUAUUAAAGCAAACAGACUAAUUUUCAUAUUUUCGGGUUUUACACUGUUUCCGACUAAACUCUAUAGACGCACAAAGUGGAUGCUAAAGAUAUAUGAUAACUGACGAUUUUGGUAAUAUGAAACUACAAUACCCUUUAGACAAUAUAACUGAAGACCCGAAGAUUUCUGGAGAAAAUUUGGAUUACCUGAUUGCGAAUAUUCUUUUCAAAUUUAUACUUAAACCC